UAUUGGUCAAUGGGGGAAACCCUGAACCAGCAACGCCGCGUGAGGGAAGACGGUUUUCGGAUUGUAAACCUCUGUCCUCUGUGAAGAUGAUGACGGUAGCAGAGGAGGAAGCUCCGGCUAACUACGUGCCAGCAGCCGCGGUAAUACGUAGGUGGCGAGCGUUAUCCGGAUUUAUUGGGCGUAAAGCGUCCGCAGCCGGUUUAUUAAGUAUAGAAUAAAACUUCGGGGCUCAACCCCGUCUCGUUCUAUAAACUGAUAGACUAGAGUGUGGUAGAGGCAAGUGGAAUUUCUAGUGUAGCGGUAGAAUGCGUAGAUAUUAGAAGGAACACCAGUGGCGAAGGCGACUUGCUGGGCCAUCACUGACGGUCAGGGACGAAAGCGUGGGGAGCGAAUAGG
RNAcentral lists this ribosomal RNA (396 nucleotides) under uncultured bacterium. RNAcentral describes it as "bacterial SSU rRNA". It matches the Rfam family "Bacterial small subunit ribosomal RNA", at positions 362 to 776 of the family's 1533-position model. The record is from RNAcentral.